RNAcentral lists this small nucleolar RNA (110 nucleotides) under Macleaya cordata. RNAcentral's name for it is "Small nucleolar RNA Z279/snoR105/snoR108". It matches the Rfam family "Small nucleolar RNA Z279/snoR105/snoR108". Rfam says of the family: This family includes the plant snoRNAs known as Z279, snoR105 and snoR108. All three are members of the C/D class of snoRNA which contain the C (UGAUGA) and D (CUGA) box motifs. Lineage: Eukaryota; Viridiplantae; Streptophyta; Magnoliopsida; Ranunculales; Papaveraceae. The record is from Rfam by way of RNAcentral.
GGGAUGUGAUGAGUGGUCAAAACUCGCACUAUUUUGGAUGCGUGAUGGGUGUCCGCCCCAAGCCUGGUUACGACAACUUGGGCACUCCCUUCUUUUACCAAUCUGAUCCC